UUCACAGCUUUGCGCACACUUCACACUUCAGCUUCACCUCUCCAUGGAACCGGUUUGAAGUCUCCCCCUCUCAACUGACUUCACAGCCAUCCUAGAGAAGCUAGGACACAACCAGAUCAUCUUCAAAACACCAGUGAGGCUGAUCAACACUUCACACACGGCUUGCCCUCUUUAUAGAACUGGUUUGGAUAUCCCCUUCUCAACAGACUUCACAGCCACCUUAGAGAAGCUAGGAAAUGACCAGGAACACCUUUAGUGAGGCUCAAGCAAUGGUACCUGAUACAUUAUCCCAAAGGUGCAUCAGAACCUAUCAAAAACAAGACAAUGAAUAUCCUGCAUCACACUUGAUGCACACAAUCCCAUAAUUCAAUCAUGAGCAUCUUAAGUAUCUUUUCAAGCACAAGCAAUGAAUAAGAUGAAUGAAAAAGAUUGAAGAAAGAGUUUAAAAGUCUAAGGGAACUUCCCUUGUGUUUUUGUGAGUUUCCUAACUCGGCCAAUGCACCAUCUUCAUGGCAUCAUCAACUUCUUGGAAAGGCAGAAUGGAUUCAUCAGCUUCUCCUCAAUCACCUCUCAUUGAAGCCGCAUUGAUGGAGAGCCUUCUUCCUCACUCGCCAAGACUGCUCUGAACAGCCUCUUACCUAGACACGCCACUGACUUGGUCCGGUUGAUGAUCCUUUGUAGAAGCCUUUGCAAAGACUUGUUACUGACCAUGGAUCAUAUGCAUUAAGACUCCCCCUCAAGCUUAGAACCGAGACUAGAAGGAGCUAAGCUUGUGAUGAUCCUAUGCAUCUCCAUGGUCUAAUAACUAUCAUCUUUUAUGAUAGCUUUCUUCUUGUGAGUUUACUCUCUUCCUUAACCAGGAACUAGGGUGUUUGAAUCACCAUAGAGAGCCUCACAAGACACACUUCUCAUUGCAUAAUGACCCAUGCUACACUUCCUGUAGACUUUGGACUGGAUAUUUCCAAUGGUAUUAUGCAAUGGCCAUCUCUCAUUGCAUAAUCAAUCACACUACACUUCCUGUAGAUUAUGGACUAACAUGUCCUAGUGAUGAUAUGCAAUGGCACUAGACCUUUGUCUCUACAUUCUUGGCUGUUGGCGAGUUACAUGUAUCACUCCUUGUGUACCUAACACCACCACAACUCAAUGCAAGAUCAGAUCAUUCCAUUGGGAUCAACCCAAGAUCAUCCAUCCUGUUUGAUCACCAAUGCCACAAUAAUAUAUGAUACUUGAAACAAGCUAGACAAUCAAGACAAGAAUAUGCAAAGACAAUGUAUGCUUUCAACAAUACACUGAUCCCUUUAGAUUCAAUUUAGUUUCAGUUAUUAUUUUUUUUUUAAAUGCAACAAUAGAUGAACGCAUUAGAUUACACACUAACCAUAUGAAUGAACCAGAUUCAAUUCAAAUGAACACAAGACUAGAUGGUACUUAUGCAAUCAAGACAAUAAGCGUGACUAUGAUUCAAGUAGCUUAUGCUUAUGCUCACUAGUUUUAUCACAGCCAAUGAUUCAAGUAGCUUAGACAUACUUCUAAAUGCUUAUAAGACAUCACUGAUGGAUUUAACUAUGGCAUAACAACACUCAGAACUGGACAGAGUCAAGACAAGUAGAUUUCAAUCUCUAACAAUGACAAUGCAAGUUCUAGAUACUACAAUGACAUCCUAGGUUAUUAUGAUUAUUAAGUUCUCUAAAUGCAAUGCAAGCUUACAUCAGUACAUUUGCAAUUUAGGCUCAUUUUUAAAUGCAUUACUACAUGAAUGCACAAUCUUAAAACAUCAGCUAUAUGAAUGCAACAGGUUCAAUCCAUGAUUAAUAUUAAAGUUAUGCACAACAGUUUCAAUCAGAACCAAUGAUGCAAGCAACUUAGACAAUUUCUAAUUGAUGCAAGACUUUCAUUGAUGGAUUAAACAUAGACAAUAGCAUCAGAUAACACUAGGAUUGAACUUAGACAGUAUGAGAUAUGCAAAAUAACUUAUCAAUCAUGAUGCAAGUAGCAGAGACAUUCUACUCAAUUCUACAACACAUUCAUGAUGAUUCAAGUUUAAGACCACACCCAAGACAAUGCAAUAAACAGACCGUGAGUUUCUGGGACUCUAGACAUUACUUAUUAUCAAUAAGACAAUGCAGUAACAACACAAUUUCAGUGCAAUUAGCCUAGACAUUCUACUAGAAGCUAUAAACUCUUAAUGGAAUUAGGGAAAGCACAUAGUAUAAUCAGGAGAUAAAACUAUCAAGACAUAUUAAGGUAGAUGAGAUUAGGUUUACUCCCUUGGUUAAGAUGAUGAGGAGUGGUUCUCAACGUUACCACUUGAAUCCUUACUUCUUCUUCUUCUUCUCUUAUUGCAAUCACCCUUCUGAAUUCACCACCAUGAUGGAAUGCUUGUGGAUGCUUCAGCUACUUCUUCAAUCACCUCACAAUAGAAGCCGCCUUGAUAGAGUAGCCUUCUUCUUCACACAGCCAAGAGUGCUCUGUCUUAGUUUGAGCACCCUCUUGAAUAGGCACGCCACUGCCUAGACCCGGUUGGCUUCUUCUUCUGGUACUUGCAAUGUUGAGAAGAAGAACACUAGUGAGUUUUACAACCAUCUGUGCUUCUCCCUUCUUGUAACACCUCUCCAUUGUACACACAAUGGGCAUCUUCUUUCUCUUUCAACUUGGAUUUGAUGAUGAACUAGGAACACCUUUUGUGAACCUGAAACAUCACUCAAACUCUAGCAAAGAUAAGACACAAUUGCAUUGGGAUCAAUCCUUGACUUCAUCAAGUUUGAUCACCAAUGUCUCAAGCUUUAUAACAUUAGAUAGAAUCAAGACAAUGUCAAGUUCUUAUCUAUGCAAGCAACCAUUCUCUAAAUACUAAACAAGACCUUAUCAGAUUCAAGUCAAGUUACUUAGGCACUCUUAAGAGCUUCUUUACUCAGUACUUAGACAUGAAUCUAAUACUUCAAUGUAAGACAGCCACAAGACUAUAUGCAACAGCUUUAAAUUCGGUUUCACUCCAUGUAUGCAAGCAGAUUUAAUUAAUCACAACAAGCAUCACUAUGAACCGGAGCUAAGCAUACUAAACAAUUUCAAUACCCAAACAAGACUCUUAAAGUAUCCUGGGACAGAUUCUAAAGCAACUUCAUUUUAGCAAUAUUUUAAACAAUCCUCAGGUUUCCAAUAACAUCACAACAAAACAACCUGUUCAUACACUCAAGCUUUAUACAAGAGAAAGAGAUUUCCUUACAGCCAAGGAACUAGUGUUAGUUCCUUGAAACUCCAUAGAACAUGGCAAGACAGUGAGCUGUUGGUGUCGAUUCCAACUUCUCCUUCUCCCAUGGACCUUUCUCUUGAACUUUCCAUGUCAGUUUUCAGAGUACCAGUACUUGAGUGAUGUAAGAACAGAUGAGAGAUUGUUGUGUGAUGAAGUAUGAAGAAUAGAAAUGAGUUUAAGAGAAUCAAAGAGAGUAUGGGAGAGACUGAGAACGUGUAUGGGAGAUUAGAGAGAGACUUAGUAACCAGAGAAUAAGAUCCAAGAACAAGUUUAUGAAGAAGAGAGACUCUCUCAGCUUAAGGGUUUACAAAGUGAUCAUAAGAGGCUUAUAUAUGCCUUUACACAACUCAGAUCACAAACCUAGAUCCUAAGGCUGUAAAUACAAGAUAGAAUGGAUGGUAAGGAUGAGAGAAGACUGGUCUUGAUGUUCUGGUUCUUAGCUGGCGACUUGAUCCAAUGUAAAGGGCUCAGAUUGCUUCAUUUGAAUUGAAUGGAUAGGAUGAGUCAAGGCUGUAAAGGUAAAGCACCUUUACCUUUCCAGCUCAUACCAACAGCUCACCUUAUCCAUUUGAAUCUUCCCUUGCCUCCAAGAGUCUCCAACGGUCACAUGAUUCAACCUAAGUCGCGCCCACACAUUGCACAACUUGGGCAAGGCUGAUCCGGGUGAUGACCGAACCAGAUAGGAUGUACGGACGCUGUACGGCCUUGAGGUCCGUACACUCGCCCUAUGCCUUCAUCCAACUUCCUUCUAAGGUUGACCCUUACAACGCCCUAUCUUUGCACCAUACAUCCAUCUUCUCUCUAACUCCUCCAAAGCCUUCACAUGAUCAGUAUAAGUCUUUCCUAGACUUAACUUCACAAGAUAACUACUUCAGAACACUUCUGAAGCUUGAUUGAACUCUUCUAGACAUCUUCUAGAGCUUGCCCUAUUAUUGUACAAGCUCCAUCUUCUCUUCAGUUCAACACUCCCCCUCAAGCUUAACUUUAGUUGAUCCUAAGUUAAGCUUGGAACUCUGAAGAGUCUCCCUCAUUAAAAACCUUACAAGGAAAACCCAUUGGGACAAAACCUUGCAAGGGAAAAAGAGUAGAGCUCUCCAAAGCCUAGGGAUUAGCCAGUGAGCUCUUGUGCCUUAGAACCAGUGUGGUUGGACACAAGAAGCUCUGGAUCAUGGCCUACUAGGUGCAGCAACUCUUCAGAGCUUUGCGCACACUUCACACUUCAGCUUCACCUCUUCAUGGAACCGGUUUGAAGUCUCCCCCUCUCAACUGACUUCACAGCCAUCCUAGAGAAGCUAGGACGCAACCAGAUCAUCUUCAAAACACCAGUGAGGCUGAUCAACAAUUCACACGGCUUGCCCUCUUUAUAUAACUGGUUUGGAUAUCCCCUUCUCAACAGACUUCACAGCCACCUUAGAGAAGCUAGGAAAUGACCAGGAACACCUUUAGUGAGGCUCAAGCAAUGAUACCUGAUACAUUAUCCCAAAGGUGCAUCAGUACCUAUCAAAACCAAGAAAAUGAAUAUCCUGCAUCACACUUGAUGCACACAAUCUCACAAUUCAAUCAUAAUCAUUUUAAGUAUCUUUUCACGCACAAUCAAUGAAUAAGAUGAAUGAAGAAUAUUUGAAGAAAGAGUAUAAAAGUCUAAGGGAACUUCCCUUGUGUUUUUGUGAGUUUCCUAACUUGGCCAAUGCACUAUCUUCAUGGCAUCAUCAACUUCUUGGAAAGGCAGAAUGGAUUCAUCAGCUUCUCCUCAAUCACCUCUCAUUGAAGCCGCAUUGAUGGAGAGCCUUCUUCCUUACUUGCCAAGACUGCUCUGAACAGCCUCUUGCCUAGUCACGCCACUGACUUGGUCCGGUUGAUGAUCCUUUGUAGAAACCUAAUGCAAAGGACUGCUCUGAACAGCCUCUUGCCUAGUCACGCCACUGACUUGGUCCGGUUGAUGAUCCUUUGUAGAAACCUGAUGCAAAGACUUGUUAUUGACCAUGGAUCAUAUGCAUUAAGACUCCCCCUCAAGCUUAGAACCGAGACUAGAAGGAGCUAAGCUUGUGAUGAUCCUAUGCAUCUCCAUGGUCUAAUAACUAUCAUCUUUCAUGAUAGCUUUCUUCUUGUGAGUUUACUCUCUUCCUUAACCAGGAACUAGGGUGUUUGAAUCACCAUAGAGAGUCUCACAAGACACACCUCUCAUUGCAUAAUGACCCAUGCUACACUUCCUGUAGACUAAGGACUAGAUAUGUCCAAUGGUAUUAUGCAAUGGCCAUCUCUCAUCACAUACUUAAUCACACUACACUUCCUGUAGAUUAUGGACUAACAUGUCCUAGUGAUGAUAUGCAAUGGCCCAAGACCUUUGACUUUACAUUCUUGGUUGUUGGCUGAGUUACAUGUAUCACAUUCCUUGUGUACCUAACACCACCACAACUCAAUGCAAGAUCAGAUCAUCCCAUUGGGAUCAAACCAAGAUCAUUCAUCCUGUUUGACCACCAAUGCCACAAUAAUAUAUGAUACUUGAAACAAGCUAGACAAUCAAGACAAGAAUAUGCAAAGACCAUGUAUGCUUUCAACAAUACACUGAUCCCUUUAGGUUCAAUUCAGUUUUUUUUUUUUUAAAUGCAACAAUAGAUGAAUACAUUAGAUUACACACUAACCAUAAGAAUGAAACAGAUUCAAUCCAAAUGAACACAAGACUAGAUGAUACUUAUGUUGAGAUGAGAAGUCUUGAGAGGUUAAGUGUGGAUGGAGAAGAAGGAGCUUAGGAGGAAUGGAUAGGUUUGGGUAAGGUGUCCGUACAAGGCAAGGCCGUACAAGGCCGUACCACUUGGCCGUACACACUUACCUCAGCUGCGGUUAAGUCAAGAGUUACUUGGGUGACUUACCAUGAUAAGAAGAAGCACUGAUCACUCACCUGAAGGAUCAGACCGUUACCAAAGGAAGAAGGAGCGUGUGACAGCCUGUCUUGAGCUGGAAAGAAGUGUUGAACUGAAGAGAAGAAUGGAGCUUGUGCAUAAAUAGGGCAAGCUUCAGGUGAUCUCCGGAAGAGUUCUACAAAGCUUCAGGAGAGUCUUGAAGUAUCUAUUGUUGAACUGAAGAGAAGAUAGAAGGUGUUGGAAGAGUUUGGGAGAAGGUGGCCGAUGGUACAAAGAUAGGGCAAGACCUUCAGGAGUGUCCCUUGGUAUCCAGAAGUGAUCUGAUGGUUGUGCAAAGAUAGGGCCAAGUCUAGGAAGGACUUAGAAGCAUAUAGUUGAGGAGAAUGGUCGAGUGUGAAAACUUAGGGCGAGGCCGUACGGAACGUACGGACCUGACCGAUCCGGAAGUUCAAGACUCGACCAUCUGAGUCUAUUUGGAGUUGGUGCAAAAAUAGGGCAAAGGAUAGCUCUUAAGAGAAGAAGACAAAAGAGGCUCUUAAGAGAAGAAGACAAAAGAAGAAGCUGGCGCCAAGACAGGCUGUCUAUGAGCUGUGUGAGCUGUAAAGAAGAAGCUAUAGUGACCUUGUAUCUGAACAGAUACAAGGGCAGGUUCAUGGGAGCCUUUAGCCAGCCAAUAAGGAGCCAGCAUUCCCUUUGACCAGAUUUGAAUUAACCAACCAGGCACCAAAGAGAGUUUAACCAAUCAGAUGAGGCUAUAAUGACCAGAUCAACUCUCCAUCUCGUCCCUCCAUCCUUCUAGUCUUUUAUGAGCCAUUAGAUGUAGGUUUUAAGUUUAUGGAAUGUAAAGAGCAUAUAUAAGCCUCUUAUGAUCAUUUUGUAAUCUUUAAGUGAGUAAGGGGGGAAACCCUUCUCCUUCAUGUUCUAUGAAAGUCUGUUCUUGAUACUAAAUCUCUAAUCUAUUCUCUAAGUCUCUCAGUCUCUUUAAUCUUGUUACCUAGUCUCUCUCAUACUCUAAAUCUCUCCCCAUACUCCUAAGUCUCAAAUCUGCUCACAUAAACUCUCCUAAACACUUUCUCACACACACCUUGAGUUAAUCCUAUAAAAAUCUCAUGGUAUCAGAGCCAGGUUCAUCAGAACCUGGUAUCUAACUUCCGCAAAGCUCAAGCCCACCUCCAUGGUUGUUUGAAGCAAAGAAGAAGCUCUUUAGUCCAGCCAACGUUUGUUCAUUUUCAGGAGGAAGAUAAACACAUCCAUAAACUCUCCUAAACACUUUCUCACACACACCUUGAGUUAAUCCUAUAAAAAUCUCAUGGUAUCAGAGCCAGGUUCAUCAGAACCUGGUAUCUAACUUCCGCAAAGCUCAAGCCCACCUCCAUGGUUGUUUGAAGCAAAGAAGAAGCUCUUUAGUCCAGCCAACGUUUGUUCAUCUUCAGGAGGAAGAUAAACACAUCUGAGGUGCUUGAGAAGCUGUAUGUGCUCUAUCCUGACUUAUCAAGCUCGACCUGAAGAAAGGAGACCCUGAAGAACAAAGCCUUGAAGCUGUUUGACAACACUCUUCAAGAGCUAGAUCCUUGAGUCUUAGUGGUGGUUCAAGAAGAAAGGUGAUAGCUUUCUACUUGGGACUGGUUUGGCGACUUGAAAGGGAGGAAAUGAGGUGUCUCAGCCAUGGUGGGGUCAAGAGGAUGGUUCAUGAAAGAAGAAGGGGUGUGAUACGACACCAAGAGCUCAACAUCUGGCCAUGAACCAUGGAGAUUCAAGGAACUAGUAAAAGUUCCUUGGCUGUAAGCUGGAUCUCUUUCCCUCUUUAUUAAAAAGCUUGAGUAUAGAAAUGUUGAGGUGGUGUGGUGAUUGAUGUUCUGUGUAUAUCCCAGGAUGCUUCAAAGGCUUGAUUAGUGUUUUGAAGAAUAAAGUGAUUGCUCUAGUUCAGUCAUGAGUUUGCUAAGAUAUUAAAACUUAUUGUUUGAAUCCUGUGCUCAUGAACUGAAAAUUGAUUGAAGUAAUGCUGAGAACUGUGUAGUCCUGGAUAUAAUGAUGCUUGUCAGGGAGUUAGUAGACGUCUAAACCUGAUUGCUUUUCAUGAAAUGAAUCCGCUGGCUGUCUGACAUUGAAGCAUUAGAUUCAUGUCUAAAUGCUGAGUAAAGAAGCUCUUAAGAGUGCCUAAGUAACUUGUCUUGAAUCUGUUAGGAUCCUGCUUGUACUUAGAGAGUUAGCUUGCAAAGAAUAGAACUUGAAGAAUGCCUUGUGUCUAUCUGUUGCAUUGCUUGUGAUAGUAGGAAUCAAACUUGAUAAGUUGUUAAUCAAGAUUUGACAUCAGUACUAUUGAAAAUGGUUAAAUGCUUAAUGUCAGUUCUAAAUAAACAUGUCUUGUUAAAGAUGAUAGAUUAUAUUAUCUAAUCAUGCUUGCCUUCAUGAGUUAGAAACUGAGUAAGAUUAAUGCAUACUGCCUCUGUUUAUUGUUGCAUUUAGAUUAAAGUCUAAGUUGCAUAUUAAGGAAUGGUUAAAAUUGCCUAAAUACUUUGACUUGAAUCUGAUAAGGUCUUGCUUAGUAUUUAGAGAAUGGUUGCUUUCAUAGAUAAGAACUUGACAUUGUCUUGAUUCUAUCUAAUGCUAUAAAGCUUGAGACAUUGGUGAUCAAACUUGAUGAAGUCAAGGAUUGAUCCCAAUGCAAUUGUGUCUUAUCUUUGCUAGAGUUUGAGUGAUGUUUCAGGUUCACAAAAGGUGUUCCUAGUUCAUCAUCAAAUCCAAGUUGAAAGAGAAAGAAUGAUGCCCAUUGUGUGUACAAUGGAGAGGUGUUACAAGAAGGGAGAAGCACAGAUGGUUGUAAAACUCACUAGUGUUCUUCUUCUCAACAUUGCAAGUACCAGAAGAAGAAGCCAACCGGGUCUAGGCAGUGGCGUGCCUAUUCAAGAGGGUGCUCAAACUAAGACAGAGCACUCUUGGCUGUGUGAAGAAGAAGGCUACUCUAUCAAGGCGGCUUCUAUUGUGAGGUGAUUGAAGAAGUAGCUGAAGCAUCCACAAGCAUUCCAUCAUGGUGGUGAAUUCAGAAGGGUGAUUGCAAUAAGAGAAGAAGAAGAAGAAGUAAGGAUUCAAGUGGUAACGUUGAGAACCACUCCUCAUCAUCUUAACCAAGGGAGUAAACCUAAUCUCAUCUACCUUAAUAUGUCUUGAUAGGUUUAUCUCCUGAUUAUACUAUGUGCUUUCCCUAAUUCCAUUAAGAGUUUAUAGCUUCUAGUAGAAUGUCUAGGCUAAUUGCACUGAAAUUGUGUUGCUACAGCAUUGUCUUAUUGAUAAUAAGUAAUGUCUAGAGUCCCAGAAACUCAUGGUCUGUUUAUUGCAUUGUCUUGGGUGUGGUCUUAAACUUGAAUCAUCAUGAAUGUGUUGUAGAAUUGAGUAGAAUGUCUCUGCUACUUGCAUCAUGAUUGAUAAGUUAUUUUGCAUACAUAAGCAUAUCUCAUACUGUCUAAGUUCAAUCCUAGUGUUAUCUGAUGCUACUGUCUAUGUUUAAUCCAUCAAUGAAAGUCUUGCAUCAAUUAGAAAUUGUCUAAGUUGCUUGCAUCAUUGGUUCUGAUUGAAACUGUUGUGCAUAACUUUAAUAUUAAUCAUGGAUUGAACCUGUUGCAUUCAUAUAGCUGAUGUUUUAAGAUUGUGCAUUCAUGUAGUAAUGCAUUUAAAAAUGAGCCUAAAUUGCAAAUGUACUGAUGUAAGCUUGCAUUGCAUUUAGAGAACUUAAUAAUCAUAAUAACCUAGGAUGUCAUUGUAGUAUCUAGAACUUGCAUUGUCAUUGUUAGAGAUUGAAAUCUACUUGUCUUGACUCUGUCCAGUUCUGAGUGUUGCUAUGCCAUAGUUAAAUCCAUCAGUGAUGUCUUAUAAGCAUUUAGAAGUAUGUCUAAGCUACUUGAAUCAUUGGCUGUGAUAAAACUAGUGAGCAUAAGCAUAAGCUACUUGAAUCAUAGUCACGCUUAUUGUCUUGAUUGCAUAAGUACCAUCUAGUCUUGUGUUCAUUUGAAUUGAAUCUGGUUCAUUCAUAUGGUUAGUGUGUAAUCUAAUGCAUUCAUCUAUUGUUGCAUUUAAAAAAAAAAAUAUAAUAACUGAAACUAAAUUGAAUCUAAAGGGAUCAGUGUAUUGUUGAAAGCAUACAUUGUCUUUGCAUUUUCUUGUCUUGAUUGUCUAGCUUGUUUCAAGUAUCAUAUAUUAUUGUGGCAUUGGUGAUCAAACAGGAUGGAUGAUCUUGGUUUGAUCCCAAUGGAAUGAUCUGAUCUUGCAUUGAGUUGUGGUGGUGUUAGGUACACAAGGAAGGUGAUACAUGUAACUCGCCAACAACCAAGAAUGUAAAGACAAAGGUCUUGUGCCAUUGCAUAUCAUCACUAGGACAUGUUAGUCGAUAAACUACAGGAAGUGUAGUGUGAUAGAAUAUGCAAUGAGAGAUGGCCAUUGCAUAAUACCAUUGGACAUAUCUAGUCCUUAGUCUACAGGAAGUGUAGCAUGGGUCAUUAUGCAAUGAGAGGUGUGUCUUGUGAGACUCUCUAUGGUGAUUCAAACACCCUAGUUCCUGGUUAAGGAAGAGAGUAAACUCACAAGAAGAAAGCUAUCAUGAAAGAUGAUAGUUAUUAGACCAUGGAGAUGCAUAGGAUCAUCACAAGCUUAGCUCCUUAUAGUCUCGGUUCUAAGCUUGAGGGGGAGUCUUAAUGCAUAUGAUCCAUGGUCAGUAACAAGUCUUUGCAAAGGCUUCUACAAAGGAUCAUCAACCGGACCAAGUCAGUGGCGUGUCUAGGUAAAAGGCUGUUCAGAGCAGUCUUGGCGAGUGAGGAAGAAGGCUCUCCAUCAAUGCGGCUUCAAUGAGAGGUGAUAGAGGAGAAACUGAUGAAUCCAUUCUGCCUUUCCAAGAAGUUGAUGAUGCCAUGAAGAUGGUGCAUUGGCCGAGUUAGGAAACUCACAAAAACACAAGGGAAGUUCCCUUAGACUUUUAAACUCUUUCUUCAAUCUUUUUCAUUCAUCUUAUUCAUUGCUUGUGCUUGAAAAGAUACUUAAGAUGCUCAUGAUUGAAUUAUGGGAUUGUGUGCAUCAAGUGUGAUGCAGGAUAUUCAUUGUCUUGUUUUUGAUAGGUUCUGAUGCACCUUUGGGAUAAUGUAUCAGGUACCAUUGCUUGAGCCUCACUAAAGGUGUUCCUGGUCAUUUCCUAGCUUCUCUAAGGUGGCUGUGAAGUCUGUUGAGAAGGGGAUAUCCAAACCAGUUCUAUAAAGAGGGCAAGCCGUGUGUGAAGUGUUGAUCAGCCUCACUGGUGUUUUGAAGAUGAUCUGGUUGUGUCCUAGCUUCUCUAGGAUGGCUGUGAAGUCAGUUGAGAGGGGGAGACUUCAAACCGGUUCCAUGGAGAGGUGAAGCUGAAGUGUGAAGUGUGCGCAAAGCUGUGAAGAGUUGCUGCACCUAGUAGGCCGUGAUCCAGAGCUUCUUGUGUCCAACCACACUGGUUCUAAGGCACAAGAGCUCACUGGCCAAUCCCUAGGCUUUGGAGAGCUCUACUCUUUUUCCCUUGCAAGGUUUUGUCCCAAUGGGUUUUCCUUGUAAGGUUUUUAAUGAGGGAGACUCUUCAGAGUUCCAAGCUUGGCUUAGGAUCUCCUAAAGUCAAGCUUGAGGGGGAGUGUUGAACUGAAGAGAAGAAUGGAGCUUGUGCAUAAAUAGGGCAAGCUUCAGGUGAUCUCCGGAAGAGUUCUACAAAGCUUCAGGAGAGUCUUGAAGUAUCUAUCAUGGGUGAAGUUAAGUUCAAGAAGGGCUUAGACUGAUCUUAAGAAGACAUGGAAGAAGUAUGGAGGUGAAUGGUUGAACGUGCAAAGUUAGGGCGAGGCCGGUACGGAUGGCCGUACGGAUGGUACGGCCCGUACGGACAUGAUCGACUCAAAACUUAUGUACUCGGCCAUUUGAAGCUAUUUGAGGGCUGUGCAAAUAUAGGGCAUUGGUGUACGGUUAUGGCAAGUCCGUACAGCCAAGGAGAAGCUCUAAUAUGAAUGUGCAAAGUCCGGGAUGGUGAGAAGCAUCAAAUGGAACAAGAAGAUGCUUUGGAGGCAAGAAGAUUCAAAUAAGAGUUGGCGCCAGUCUGUGGGUUAUGGGAUUGGUUGUAGUGGUCUAAGGACAGGCUGUAAAGAGCUGUAAAGGAAGAGCAAGGCUUGACCAAGUAUCUGGCCAAAGAAGAGGGCAGAUACAUAAGGCUGUGUGGAGCAUUUCUAGCCUUGCCUUCCCACAUCCAAUCAGGCGACAACAACAAGCUGCAAAGACCACAAGACUGAAUCAAGAUCGUCCAAUUCAAAUCAGAGCAUCUCCACCCUUCAUGUCUUAUCUAUUACUUUAGGGUUUCAUGAGUUUGUAACCUGUUUCUAUAUAAAGACCCCAUUAGGGCGAAUUGUAAGCCUUAAGUGAGUAAGGGGGGAAACCCUUCUCCUUCAUGUUCUAUGAAAGUCUGUUCUUGAUACUAAGUCUCUAAUCUAUUCUCUAAGUCUCUCAGUCUCUUUAAUCUUGUUACCUAGUCUCUCUCAUACUCUAAAUCUCUCCCCAUACUCCUAAGUCUCAAAUCUGUUCACAUAAACUCUCCUAAACACUUUCUCACACACACCUUGAGUUAAUCCUAUAAAAAUCUCAAGUAUGUCACCAGUGCCUUGCCAUCACCCUCACGCCCCUCUCCUUCAGCUCCACGGCUAGAUGAUCCGGCUCCACUUGUUCCAUCAGAAGCAUGAGCUCUUGCCUCCCUUUCCUUCAUGAACUUUGCCGGCUUCAGAUGAGGAUGUAGUAUCCAGCACUGGCUCUUCUUGUGUCCAUGCUUCUUGCAGUGAUCACAAUUGCCAUUGAACUUCCUAUCCUCAUACUUGCCGUGUGCUGCUUUGUUGGCUUGUGGUAUCUCCUCAUGAUCAGUUCGCGCAGCAUUGGCUAGAGACAAGUCUCCUUUACCACCAAACAAGCCAAUGGAGCCUUGCUCCUUUUGUAUUUGAGCACACGCAUCCUCCAGGUCCGGAAGCUUCUCAGCCCUCAACAUAUGCUGAAUCAACCCACUGUAGCUUGGAUUCAAUGUAAGCAACAACCCAAAGACCUUAUCUUGCUCUCUCCUUUCAUUUAGCAGCUCUGGAUCAGUUGUGCUCGGCCUCAGCAUCUCCAGCUCUGACCAGAGUGUCCGGAACCUCCCCAAAUGCCUAGUGAACUCCAUGUCCUCCUGAGUUAGAUCAUUCAAAGCUUUCUUCACUUCAAAGACCCGGCUGAGGUUAGAGGUGUUUCCAUAUACCUUCUUCAAUGUUUCCCACAGCUCCUUGGCUGUCUCACAAUAGCUGUAAGCAUCUAGAAUGGCUGGCUCCAACGAGCUAUGAAGAGCAGACAUCACCAUCAUGUCCUCUUGUUGCCACUUCUCAGCUUCAGCUUCCGAGACACUCUCCUUGUCUCCUCCUUGAGUAAUGAGCUUUGGAGCCUCACCAGAUGUGAUAUGCUUCCAUAAACCCUUACUUCCCACAGCAGUCUUCACCAUCCUAGACCAUACUAGGUAGUUACUGCCCUUGAAAGUCACAGCAACCUUCAUCUUGGAACCACUCUCCAUCUUCAACAGUUUCACUUCAAUAACUUGUAAAAGACUUGAUCUUGAGACUCAGAACUACAACACCAGCUCAAACCCUUCCGUGCCUUGUCUUUACUCUUCAAAGAACCCUAAAAAAAGCUAGAGAAGACUUCCGGAAUGAAGAUGUAGCUCCCGGGAUGCAGCUUCUUCCAAGAACACUCACACCACUCUCACUUGAUCUCUCAAGGUUUCAAGUUUGAAUCUUCAAGAGAAAAACGCCAAGAACUCAGAUUGAAAUCAACCUGGCUCUGAUACCAUAUCAGUUUUGAGUAAAGUAAAAGAUAAUCUGAGUUUAGAUAAGAAUAGAGAAGAGAUUAGAGUAGAUUUGAGAGAUUAAGAGACUAAUGGAGAAUCAUUGUGAAAGGUUUAGAAAGAUUGAUUUGUUUAGGACUGUCUAAUUUUUUAUUAAUGAGAGAGUUUACAAUAUAUAGACUUUAGAUCCUAGGGCUUCAUAAGGAUAAGGUAGAACAAGCAUGUGUAGUCAAAGAAGAGAGGCGCGCCUAAUUCAAACUGAACCAAUGAGGAGCUCCACAUGUGUGACCGGAUGGAUAAGGUUUGCUUUCCCUUUACAGCUCGCAUCCAGCCUGUCAAGCCGCGUCCCUUAUCCUAUCUUCAACGGUCUGCUCAGUUACUCCCAAAGGUUAACUCCUUCUAAGUUACCUUUCACCUCAAGGUAGAGUAACUUCCCAUUUGGCUGUGUCAUACUCGUACGGACAGUACGGCCAGUGUACGGCCUGUACGGUCUUGUCUCGGCCUAACUCCUCUUAAUGCCUUCUUCUCCUCAUCCCUUCUUCCCAAGGUUUCCUAAGCCUUCAUAGUUUAACUCCUCAUCUCAACAUUAAUGAGAGCAUCAAGGUCGGAUCUCCUUAGAUACUCUUGAUCAUUGUUCCCACGGUUGCUUGGUGCUCCAGUGUAGGCUACAAGAGACUUCUCAUCACCUGCCUCACGCCCAUCUAUCCCCUUUCCUUUGCUUGUACCCGCACCACUUGUACCAUCCGAGACAUUAGCCCUUGCCUCACGAUCCUUCAUGAACUUAGCCGGCUUGAGAUGAGGGUGGAGUAUCCAGCAUUGGCUCUUCUUGUGGCCAUGCUUCUUGCAGUGAUCACAACUCCCAUUGAACCUCCUCUCCUCAAACUUCCCAUGCGCAGCCUUGUUUGCUUGUGGAGCUUCACUCCCCUCCUCUUGAGUUGCUUGACUUGCAAGGGAAAGGUCUCCUUUCUUUCCAAACAGCCCAAUGGAGCCUUGCUCCUUCUGAAUCCGCGCACACACAUCCUCAAGGUCAGGCAAAGUAUCCUCCCUAAGUAGGUGCUGGAUGAGACCGUUGUACGCCGGGUUUAGGGUGAGGAGUAACCCAAAGACCUUAUCUUGCUCUCAUCAGCAUCCGUUGUGCUUGGCCUAAGCAUCUCCAUCUCGGACCAGAGGCUUCUGAAUCUUCCUAGAUGCUUAGUGAACUCCAUGUCUUCUUGUACAAGGUUGUUGAUAGGUUGCUUCACCUCAAACACUCGGCUUAGGUUUGAAGUGUUGCCAUACACUUUCUUCAAAGUGUCCCACAGCUCUUUAGCAGACUCACAGUAGCUGUAUGCAUCCAGAAUGGCCGGCUCAAGGGACGCAUGAAGCACAGACAUCACCAACAUGUCCUCUUGAUGCCACUUCUCUUCUGCCUUGCUUGCGGCUUCAUCUUCAGCUUCUCCUAGAGUGAUGAGCUUUGGAGCUUCUCCUGGCGUGAUGUGCUUCCAAAGCCCCUUGCUUCCCACUGUGGUUCUCACCAUCCGAGACCACACCAAGUAGUUGUUUCCCUUGAAACACACCGCCACUUUCAUGUUCAUGUUCAUCCCACUCUCCAUGUUGAAUGUAGAACCCUUUUGACUUCAAUAACUUUCUCUUGAGGUAACUGUCUUGAGUGAACACUAGUAGCUUCUCCUUUUACCCACGCAGCUUCAAUAACACCUCACACAACCAAUAGAACUCAGAAAGACUACCCAGAACCGCUUAAGAACACACGAACACCAAACUGUUUCUUCAAAGCUUCAAUCUUGAAUCUUUAAAGAACCCAACGAAACCAAGUUUUCUAGUAACCUGGCUCUGAUACCAUAUCACUUUUAGGAUAGAGUAGGGUAAUCUGAGUAAAUAAGAAAGACUAGAAGUGAUUUAGAAGAGAUUUGAGUAUGAAAUGAGAUUAGGAGUCUAGCAUAGAAUCAUUGUGAGAGUAAAGACUAAGAAAGACUCAUAACUUGCUUGAUUUUUAUUAAUGAGUGAGGUUACAUAUUUAUAAGAAGGACACAAGGGUUUACAAGAGAGGAAAUGGGCACUAUUAAACCGUGUGGAGUCAAGGCCAUGGAUUCAAAUCAACCACUAGGAUGCAUCACACGCUUAUGGCAUCUUGGACUAAAGGUGCUUUAGCUUUCCAGCCUGUUCCAGCCUGGCACCGCGCAUCCCUUAUCCUUUCACCGGUCUUAUCUUCUCCACUAAGCCCUCAAGGUAACAUAUGCUUGUUACCGUUUCACUUGGUCAAGGUUAGGUAACUUCUGGUCGAGGCAUCUGGUACGAACGGUACGGCCAUGUACGGCCUUGUACGGCCGUCCAUACCAUGCUUGCCCAAAGUCCCCUCAUUCUCUUCCUCCUCUUCUCUUCCACUUCUUAUCUCUUCUUGUUCAUAUCCUCAACUCAUCUCAACACACAUUGCUUCCAUCUAAAGAUAGGGUGCUAGAAGCGUUUAUGAACUUCCAAGCAUAUGUAUCUAAUCAAUACUGAAACAUCACUCAAACUCCAGCCAAGAUAAGACACAAGUGCAUUGGGUCAACCCUUGAUGCAUCAUCAAGUUUGAACACCAAUGUCAUUAAGCAAUGCAACAGAUUAAACUAGACAUUUUCAAGUUCACAUCUUUGCAAGCUCAGCUCUCUAAGUUCUAGUAUGAUCCUACAGAUUCAUUACAAGACACUUAGGCAACUCUUGACAGCUCCUUUACUCAGCUACUAGACAUUAAUCUAGUGCCUCAAUAUAAGGUAACUUCAAGACACUAUGCACUAGCUUUCAGUCGGUUUUAACUCAUGUAUGCAAGCAGAUUCACUCAAUCACAACAAGCACUACAAUGAACCGGAGCUAAGCAUUUUCAAAAACAAUCUCAAUCACCAAACAAGUCUCUUUAAGCAUCCUGGGAUAGAUUCUAAAUUCAUUUUCAUUUAGCAAUCUUUAAACAAUCCUCAGGUUUUCAAUCACAUCACAACACAACAACCAUAUUUUAUCACAAGCUCAUUAUCACUUAAGGCUUAAAGAAUCGCUUACUAUCAAGGAACCAGGUUGGUCCUUGUAUCACCCUUGGAUGGAAAGCUCAUGACUUUGAGGAUAUGUGAGUCUGGAUCGUUACCCAUCUCCUUCUCCUUCAGUUCAUGACUCCCUCCUUGUUUCUCUAACUCAAAGACCCCUCCUUUCUCCUUCUCUUCUAGGCGCCAUCUUCUUGGCAGCUUUCUUGAAGAACCGGAUGGGAAAGCUCUUGGACAAGGCACCUUGGAUGAGGUUCGCGAGGCCUCUCCAUACACCUCUGCUUCCAAUGAGUCUCUCCAUCAGUAUGGACAGGAGAAAGGAUGUGAGCCACGCCAGCUUCAGUCUUCUUCUUCAUGGAGAAACUGAACUCGGAUGGGAAAGGCUUCAAAGGUUGGAUUUGAGCUGAGAUGAGAGCAAGUGAUUUGCGGAAGCUACAGCUCAGGUUCUGAUGAACCUGGCUCUGAUACCAUGUGAGAUUUAUAGAGUUCUCUUCUCUGGUUGUGUUUGUGUGUGUAUAAACUCCAAUGGAGAAAGAUUAGAGCUUGCUCUAGGUGAUUUAGAAAGAGAUUGAUAAGAGUGUUUAUGAGAGAAUAAGAGACUUAGAACCAGAGAUUAAGAGACUGAGAGAUUAAGAGAAUAAGUGUUUAGAGAUUACAGUUUCAGAUUCAAGAACAAGUUUUCAUUUCCAUGAAGUGGAGAGGGGAAAUCCCCCUUACUCCCUUAAGGCUCCAAAUCGCCAUUACAUGCUUAUUUAUAAGCUCCAUAGGUUUACACAAUCUGAAACCUAAAUCUAAUGGAUAAUAUUAACUUGAGAGAAUGGAUGGUGUAGAUGAGAUGGUCUUCUUGUAAUAUCUGAAGAGUUGUGAGGAUAAGGUUGGCUGUUCACUUUAAUUCAAACCAAGGCAAGCUGGCUCCUUGCUUGUGAUUGGCUCUCCUUAGGCUCCUCCUAAUCUUCCCAUGCAUCUGUCCAGGUUCAUGGUCGUGGCUCCCUUCUCUUUACAGCAAGAGACAGCCUGUCCAAGACCAGAACUAGCCAAUCACACACAAGGAAGCUCCCAUUGGUUGUUUGCCUCCACAAAGCAUCUUCUUGAUGCCUUCUUGAUUCCAAACGACCAGGGCCUUCUCCCAACACCCUAAGAUUGCACAAAGCCUCCUUGACAUGUUCUGAUCACGCCCUAAGCUUGCACUUCUUGUCCCGGACUUUGCACAAUCUCAAAACAUCUCAAAUGGGCGAGUUGUGAUCUCUCGGGUCGUACCGGUCCGUACAGAUCCGUACAUGGCCGUACAGCCUCGCCCUAUCUUUGCACACUCUCCCAUUUGCUCCUCAACACUCUUCUAAGUCUCUCCUAGACUUUGACCUUGCUUAGAACAUCCAUCAGAUCACUUCUGGACACCUUUAGACUCCUCAUCACUCUUGAUAGGCAAUCUCUAAAGCUCUUGCCCUAUCUUUGUACAAGAUCCUUCUCAACUCAACACCUCUAGCUCCUCCAUUCCUUUCUUCAAGUUAACAACGCUUGGCCUUUACAGCCUGUCCACGGCCUGGAUGGAUAAGGCUCGUCCCACCCUUAUCUCUAAACGUUCUGAUCAGUCUUGAGACCUUCUAUGUACUCUAGAGGCUUUACUCAUCCAUCUCCUCCUUCCUUCAUGUUUCCUCAGAUGUACGGCCAAGCCCCUGUCCGUACAUAGGCCGUCCUGUCCGUACUCUUUCCAUCACUUGCUUAGCUCUUCCUCUCCUUCUCAUAAUGACUUCCUCAUCUCAACACACAGGUUCCUUGGUUGUAAGCUAAACCUCCUUCCCUUGUUUAAAGCUUGUGUCUUUAUGUUAUGGUUGUGUUGUGUGGUGUGGUUAAGUCCUGCGGAUUCUGUUUUGCAUCAUCUUGUUGUGAUUGCCAUAACUAAAGUGUCAUUAAUGAGUGUAGCAUCUAGUAGAAUGUCUAAGCUACUUGCAUAAUGGUACUGAAGUUGUUUUGCUGUUGCAUUGGUUAGUAUGCAGUGAGUAGUAUUUUAAAUCCCAGGAUCUCAUGUCUUGUUCAUUGCAUUGUCUUGUGUAGUGCCAUAGCUUGAAUCAUCAUGAAUGUGUUGUAGAAAUGAGUAGAAUGUCUCUGCUGCUUGCAUCAUGGUUGUAGAGCUGUUUUGCAUACAUAAGCAUGUCUCAUUGUCUCCUGGUUCAAUCCGAGUGUGUACUGGUGCUGUUGCCUGUGUUUAAUCCAUCAUUGACUGUCUUGCAUCAAUUAGAAGUUGUCUAAGUUGCUUGCCUCAUUGGUUUUGAUUAGAACUGUUGUGCAUAGCUUUAAAGUGUUCUCGGAUUGAUCAUGCAUUCAUAUAGCUAAUGCUUUACGAUUGUGCAUUCAUGUAUUGAUGCAUUUAAAACUGAGCCUAAAUUGCAAAUGUACUGAUGUUAGCUUGCAUUGCAUUUAGAGAACUUAAAAAAAAUAAAAAUUAUAUGCUUGAUUGUGCCUUGAUUGUUUGGCUGUUUCAAGUUUUAUAUAUUGUUGUGGCAUUGGUGAUCAAACAGGAUGGAUGAUCUUGGUUUGGUCCCAAUGGGAUGAUCUGAUCUUGCAUUGAGUUGUGGUGAUGUUAGGUACACAAAGAAGUGAUACAGUGACAAGCCAAACCAAAGUGUGAAGACAAAAGGUCUAGUUCCAUUGCAAAUCAUCACUGGAUGUGUUAAAUCCAUAAUCUACAGGAAGUGUAGUGUGAUUGAUUAUGCAAUGAGAGGAUGCCAUUGUAUAAUACCAUAGGACAUGUUCAGUCCACAGUCUACAGGAAGUGUAGCAUGGGUUAUUAUACAAUGAGAGCUUGUCUUGUGAGGACUCUCUAUGGUGAUUCAAACACCCUAGUUCCUGGUAUAAGGAAGAGAGCAGCUCACAAGACCAAGGCCAUCACAAAAGUCUAUGAAGACCGGUGGUCCAAAGGCCAUGAAAUUGCUUACACCUUACACAAGCUUAGCUCCUCACCUAUUCUCGGAGUUAAGCUUGAGGGGGAGUGUUAAUGAGCAAGUUUCAUGGUCCAUUAUCAAGUCUUUGCAAGGACUUCAUCAAAGGAUCAUCAACCGGGUCUAGGCAGUGGCGUGUCUAGGCAAGAGACUGUUCAGAGCAGUCUUGGCUGAGUGAGGAAGAAGGCUCUCUCUCAAUGCGGCUUCAAUGUGAGGUGGUUGAGGAGAAGCUGAUGAACCAACUCAGUCAUCCAACAAGUUGGUGUUGCCAUGAAGAGGUUGCAAUGGCCAAGAGAGAAGGGCUGCAAGGACUACAUUCAAGAGACAUCAACCGGAGUUAUUCUAGGCUGGGUGUGUAUGAAGGCUAAUAUUCAAGCUGAAGGAUCCAUACAGUCUUCCAACAAGUUGAUGUGCCCGUAGAGGUUGCAAGCCUAUGCGUAGUGUGAGGGAUUCAAGUGACAAUCCAAUCCAGCCACUCCUCACCAAAACAAAAAGGGAAGUGUCCCUUAAACUUAGUUCAAUUCAAUUCACUCAUCAUUUCAUUGUUUAAGCUUGAUAUGAUACUCAAAGUGUUUUGAUUGAAAUGUGAUGCAUUGAUGUGAUGCAAUCUUGGUUUCUUGAUAAGUACUGAUGCACCUUUGGGAUAAUGUAUCAGGUACCAUUGCUUGAGCCUCACUAAAGAUGUUCCUGGUCAUUUCCUAGCUUCUCUAAGGUGGCUGUGAAGUCUGUUGAGAGGGGGAGAUCCAAACCAGUUCUAUGAAGAGGGCAAGCAUAUUUUGAAGUCUUGCUCAGCCUCACUGAUGUUUAAAGAUGAUCCGGUCGCAUCCUUGCCUUUCUAAGAAGGCUAUGAAGCUUGUUGAGAGGGGGAGCCCCAAACCGGUUCCAUGAAGAGGUGAAGCUGAGGUGUGAAGUGUGCGCAAAGCUGUGAACUGUUGCUGCACCUAUUAGGCCGUGAUCCAGAGCUUCUUGUGUCCAACCACACUGGUUCUAAGGCACAAGAGCUCACUGGCCAAUCCCUAGGCUUUGGAGAGCUCUACUCUUUUUCCCUUGCAAGGUUUUGUCCCAAUGGGUUUUCCUUGUAAGGUUUUUAAUGAGGGAGACUCUUCAGAGUUCCAAGCUUGGCUUAGGAUCUCCUAAAGUCAAGCUUGAGGGGGAGUGUUGAACUGAAGAGAAGAUAGAGCUUGUACAAUAAUAGGGCAAGCUCUAGAAGAUGUCCAGAAGAGUUCAAUCAAGCUUCAGAGGUGUUCUGAAGUAGUUAUCUUGUGAAGUUAAGUCUAGGAAAGACUUAGACUGAUCUUAAGAAGGCUUUGGAGGAGUUUGGGAGAAGAUGGUCGAAGGUGCAAAGAUAGGGCGUCGGUACGAACCAGUACGGACAGUACGGCCUUGUACGGCCAUGGGCGAACCAAGAAGAGGAAUGGAUCGACUUAGGAAGAAGAAUGGGUGAUGUGCAUACUUAGGGCGAGUGUACGGACCGGUCAGGCCGUACAUCGACCGCACAACACCCGGGACUCGUCCAUUCAUCCGGUUCAGCCAAGUUUAAAGAUGUGCAAGGAUAGGGCGCGGCUUAUCUGAUCUUUUAUGACCGUUGGAGACCUAAGGAGAGAAAGGGAUAUUCCUCAUGAGCUGUGUGGUCCAAAGAGACAGGCUGGAAAGUAAAAAUGGCUUUACCUUUACAGCCUUAUUUCCACACUGUCUCAUCUUGGCCAUUGAUUCAAAAUGAGCCAAUCUCUCCCCUCCAUUCAAAUCAGGCGUGCCUCCCUUGCCAGCUUGCACCAGAACAUCCAAGACCAGCCUUCUCUCAUCCUAGCCAUUCAUUCUAUCUUUUAAUUACAGCCUUAGGAUAUAGGUUUAUGAUCUGAGUCAUGUAAAGGCAUAUAUAAGCCAUUUGUAUGCAUUUUGUAAACUCUAAGAGAGAGAGGGGGAUUUCCCCUCCUCCUUCAUAAUCUUAUGAUACUUUGUCUCUCUAAACUCUCUAGUCUUUGAUUCUGGUUACUUCAAUCUCGUUCUCAAUCUCUAUUCUCUCAAUCUCUCACUUAAUCUCUCAUACACACUCACCAUUCUCUUAUACUUCCAUUAAUCUCUUAUUCUCUUUCAUUGUUGAACAAGAAUCAGUCCCAACCUGUUGAGGUUGAUCCAUCACGCCCACACACAGCCUGUGCUCUGAAAAACUCACAUGGUAUCAGAGCCAGGUUCAUCAGAACUUGGUUCCAGCUUCCGCUCAAGCACAAGCUCACUCCCAUGCCAUUUCAAGCCAAGAAGAAGCUUCAUGGUCCAGCCGGCUGUUCAACCUCUUCAAGAAGAAGAUGUGCUCAUCCAUGGUGUCCAGGAGCUGUCCUUGGUCGUUCUACACUCUCUCAUGUCCGUCCUGAAGAAAGAAAGCCAUUGGAAGCAUGUCCAAGCCUUUCCUAUUCUCUGUCCAAGGA
RNAcentral lists this long non-coding RNA (22312 nucleotides) under Brassica napus (rape). Its description in RNAcentral is "long non-coding RNA (BNAP_LNC002540)". The record is from RNAcentral. Lineage: Eukaryota; Viridiplantae; Streptophyta; Magnoliopsida; Brassicales; Brassicaceae.